GCGGAUGUGGUGCACGGUGCACGACUGCUUUCAGUCGUUGGUUACUGGGUCGCACACUGCAUUUGAAGUCCAACGGGGUUCGAUUCCCCGCAUCCGCA
Mycena metata is the source of this 98-nucleotide non-coding RNA. The record is from the annotation of a GenBank genome assembly. Lineage: Eukaryota; Fungi; Basidiomycota; Agaricomycetes; Agaricales; Mycenaceae.